AGCCUGAUGCAGCCAUGCCGCGUGUGUGAAGAAGGCCUUCGGGUUGUAAAGCACUUUCAGCGAGGAGGAAAGGUUAGUGGUUAAUACCCGCUAGCUGUGACGUUACUCGCAGAAGAAGCACCGGCUAACUCCGUGCCAGCAGCCGCGGUAAUACGGAGGGUGCGAGCGUUAAUCGGAAUUACUGGGCGUAAAGCGCAUGCAGGCGGCCAAGUCAGUCAGAUGUGAAAGCCCCGGGCUUAACCUGGGAAUUGCAUUUGAUACUGCUUGGCUAGAGUCCUUGAGAGGGGGGUAGAAUUUCAGGUGUAGCGGUGAAAUGCGUAGAGAUCUGAAGGAAUACCAGUGGCGAAGGCGGCCCCCUGGCAAGAGACUGACGCUCAGAUGCGAAAGCGUGGGGAGCAAACAGGAUUAGAUACCCUGGUAGUCCACGCCGUAAACGAUGUCUAUUAGGAGUCUGUGCCCUUGAGGCGUGGGUUCCAAAGCUAACGCAUUAAAUAGACCGCCUGG
RNAcentral lists this ribosomal RNA (504 nucleotides) under Ferrimonas sp. 5Bf4S189. RNAcentral's name for it is "bacterial SSU rRNA". It matches the Rfam family "Bacterial small subunit ribosomal RNA", at positions 380 to 876 of the family's 1533-position model. The record is from RNAcentral. Lineage: Bacteria; Pseudomonadati; Pseudomonadota; Gammaproteobacteria; Alteromonadales; Ferrimonadaceae.